Molecule: long non-coding RNA, 8169 nt
Organism: Lagopus muta (rock ptarmigan)
Lineage: Eukaryota; Metazoa; Chordata; Aves; Galliformes; Phasianidae
Exons: 4
Source: RefSeq, a predicted model, not a curated record
CUCCAUAUUAAAUGAAACAGAAGAGUCCUCCCCUUACUCACAACUGGCAGCAUCCAAGAAUAAGCUGAUACAGGAAGAAAUGUAACGGCCUUCAGAAAUACUUAAAAACUGAAGACCUGCUCAACAGAAAGUCAAUAAAUACAGAGAAAAAAGCCUCUCGUAUUCAAAGACUGCAUCUAGGUGCAGUCCGAAAAUGGAGAAAGCCUGACUGCAACAAAUUAUUUCAUUCAUUCAGUGAAGACUGAUCAUUUUCAGAGAUCUUAUGGAAAAUAUUUAUAAACUUACAGUGAAAGUAACAACCUCAGGAAUUAAUGUAACUCAUAUGAUGUGAGUAAAUGAUAGUCUGUAAACUGCUCUUCACAGUAAAGACAGCAUUUCUAAAUUACAAGGAGUAUAUUGCUAAUAGAUUUUAACAUAGGAAGUGCAACACUGCCUUAUUCUUAAGAAACUAAAGGGAUAACCCUUAGUAAGAGCUGUUUAACACAGCUGGAACAUCUACUUCAAAUGUUAAAGUAAUAUAAUACUCCAGCUAUUGACCAGGUAGGUCUGACAGCAGUCACCAGACACAGGUCGCUUGUGUUAGAACCACCAUCGGCAGCUGUGCUGACUGACAGUCACUGGUCGGUCAGAUGAUUUCCACCAUCCUACUUCUGGUUUACUGUGACCUUGUCUGAACUGCUGGGACAGCCAGAAAAACCCUCACAGCACAGGCUGAAACAUUUCUAAAUAUCAUUUUCUAAUAUCCUUCUGCAUAAUGCAAAAAAAGCUCUUGAGCAUUUCAAAAACACAUCAGAACUAGCGUAACACACAGCUUACAAACUCCUAAGUCUGAAAACAUUUCAAGCUGUAAUUUCUCUCCCACAUAGUAAUUUGAAUUUCAUCUGUAUAUAUUAGACAUUUUGUUCUUCAACAGCACAAUAAAAAUGUAAUUACUUCAGUAUUCCUUCCGAUCGCUCAGACAUUUUUGUCAUCUAACAGUCACUGAAGUUCAUUCAUCAGAGUGUUUCUAAACACUGGCUGAAGCAAUUCACCAACACCAAAACACACCAAGUGCUUCAUCAUUGAAAAAUCAGCAAAAAAAAAAGCUGAAAAAUCUAAUGCCUCUCCUUCCUCAAAGACAUACUUUUGAAUUCCAUUAAAAGGUAUUUUUGCAAAAACAUACCAAAAAAAUCCCAGACCCCACACUAUACUGUAUACUGUAAAAAAAGAAUGUAUGUAUUGUACGGCGCUUUAUCCAUCCCCGUUUUCAGAUUUCUAGUUGUGUGUUGCCCACAUUUGCUUCUGCUCAGAACUUUCUCUGUGCAGAGAAAGAUGCGCUGCUGACUGCUGUAGGUUGUUACCAUCAACAUUUCAACACCUUCCAGAGUCCACCUUCCUGUUUUUCCAGUUGUGCAAAUGACUUCUUAAAACUAGGCCUGCUUUACAGGACCUGGUAAGAAAGCAGUCAAAUGGUUAAGCUGGUGAAACUGAGAAAGGGUGGAACAUCUGGCAGAGGAAGGAGGGAGUCGUUAACCACUCAACUCAGAUCUGCCGCAGCCAGAACAGCUCAGCUUGUCGCACCACGCUGAUCCGAGUGCAGGAGAAAUCAGCAGUUACACUGCAUUAUUCACAAAAGCAGAGAAAGAUGGCUGAAGCCAUCUACAGAUGUAGAGUGAUUCUCUGAAGCUUGUUUCAUAGUGGAAGAUUUUUAAUUCCUGCAGCCACGUGGGUGGUUUGCAUUUUGCACGAACUGACUGCAUUUGCUCACUUUCAUAAACUGACAGCGUCUGCAGCUCACAGUGUAACUGCUGCUUCAACUGACACAGAUGCAAAGAAUUAAUGUAAAUAACCCAUACACAUCCAGAAACGACCAAUACUGAACAGUAAGUAAUGACUUCUCAUUAAUUAUUUACCUGAAACAAGGUGACCGUUACCAUUACAAAUAGGUUAUUAAAAUCCUUUUGCUGAACAGAAACCCCUGAUGAAAUUGCAGCAUGUGAUAUGUUAACCUACAAAACAGUUUUCAAUCAUUCCCAUAACGUCACAUAGUUGUGUGAUGUUGUAACUAUAUUCAGUAUUUACCUUAAAUGUAUCAGCUGAACUCCAGAAAAACUGGACUUUUUUGCAGAAGUAAAAGCAAGGUCCAAACCCACUUGUUGCCUGCUCAGCUUUGCUUUUGGACCAAUUUAUCAGUAUUUCGUGGUAGCAAGCAUUGUUAUCACAUUCAUCACUUGUAUCACACUGUGAGGGCAUUCCUUUUGAUAAUCUGGUUUAAGUUAUUUUUCUCAUGGAUGUGUUUUUAAGAUUUUUUUUUUUUUUUAAGAAAGAGCCCUGAAAAACAAGCUAUGGAAGUAUUUCCUACCAAGUAACAUGGUACCAUAAUGAACACCCAAAUGCUCUGAAAUAAUUAAAGAGAUUUAUUGGUCAAAAAUAUAACACACAAGUGGUACAAUUCAAGAGAAAUGUAGUCAUUAUAAAGAUUCUGUUAAUUUCUGUACAGUAAUUUUGGCAUAUUCAGAAAGCUCCAUGUCCACAACACACUCACUCUGAGCCCCUCUUUCACUGUGUUAUCACCGAAGAAAGAUGAGCAAAUAAAGCACAAAUUCUGCUUUGCUUUCACACUUACAAAGUGACUUACGUGCACAAAUCAAAUACAUGGAGAAAGGCUGCUAAUUCACUACAUACAAAAAUACUGCUAUCUGUACAACUUGCACAGUGCUUUAAAACAAAGUGAGAUUACUGUGACACAGCACGUCCACACGGAUUACAUUUAAGUGUGAACGCUUUGUAAGACAUAACUCACUAUGAGUACUCAUCAGUGACAUUUAUAGAUCUCCUUGCUUAUGCUAAGUCACAGCCAUCACUUUCCUAAAGCUGUACUAACAUCUGUUUCCAAAUCCUGAAGACCAUCAGCAUGUGUUUAACUUUGUGCAAUGAGUGUGAUGUCAUAAACAGACGCUUAAAGCUUUGCAGGAUUAGGACCUCAUCAAACAAUACAUUUUCAUAUUCUAUGAAAGGGGAGCAAAAUAAAGGAUAGAGCCAGCAAUGCCCGUGCCUCCCUGGCUGUGUGUCAGUGUCUCUCUGCGGAUAGGAAAUAUUGAGAAAGUCAUCACUUUGUGACAUGUAAGAGCCUUUAAGAGCAAGAACUGGACUUCAGUGGAAUAUACCACCUGGAACUCUAUUUUCACAAAUUUCUCUGCUUUUGAAUUUUUCUUGAGCUCUUUUUCAUUUACAGUAAGAUUGUCUGGCAGACUGACUUUAACGUCUCUAGAAUUUUUAAUCGAGUUUUCAGCAACUGUUUCCUAGCCUUCCAACAACAAAAAUGCCACUGCCCACCUUUUUCAUGAUGACAGAUCAUGGCUGAUUACGUUGCAAAUUCCCUUUUGGAUAAAGGAAGAAAAAACGAGCCUGCCUUUUUUUUUUCCACGUUUGGUUCAUUUGUGUUUCACUGUUCGGUGUGAAGAUCAAAAACGAGCUCAACUCUGACUCCUCUCUCUCCGUUGCCUUUGGCAUCAUGCCCAGAUUUAAAACCAGUUUUCAAACAUUUAAUUGGCGGCUUUAGCCAAGUACCCAAAUGUGAGAUCUUAAAAUAUGGAGUAAACUAUCAGAGAGAUUCAGCUCAUCACACAAGUGCACAACUGUUAAAUUAACAUCUGGAUUUAAUAACAAUAAUCUGAACACAGUUUAACAUAUUCUGCAAUGUGAGUUUGUUUCAGAGAUUCAGGAUACGGAAGAUUUUUGUGGUGGUGGCUCAGACAGCCUCACUGUAACUUUACAGCAGCUGUCAAUAUCACAAAAGAAAAAUUUGAAAAACUUUUGCUCCAAAGUGACUAUGAAGGAAUAGUCCUAAGAUGAUAAAAACCGCUCAGGAAUCAAUGUCAGGAAGUCAAGCUCACUAUGCUUGAUGCAGCACAGAAAAAUCUCAUGUACAGAUGCAAAGAUGAAACGUUUAUUUUGUGAUGAAAAGAUGAAAUGUUGAUUUGCAAACAAGCUUAAUUCUAGUUGUUCAGGCAUGUUGCUAAAAGAGUAACAGACAUAUUCCCUGUAAGAAUCAAGGGUUGCAGACAGACUACACCUAGCACUGUAUUUACCAUGACAGAAACAAAGGAAAAUGUCUUGCCCCCAGCUUCAUGCUGGAAAAGCAAGAAGUCCUGGCAACUUAUCUGAGUUCUUGCCUCCAUGGGCCUAAAGCACUCAGCAUUAAGUUCACCACUUCAAUUAUACAUGAGAACAAUUCCCAUUGCUUUCAGAAGAAUAGUGUACCAGGCUGUUCUGUGUUACCUAAGCCUAUAUUUUGGUUAUCAUGAAACAUGAUUCCCCUGUACUCGGCCCUGGUGAGGCCUCAUCUCAAGUGCUGUGUUCAGUUUUGGGCACAUCAAUGCCGAAAGGACAUGGAAGUGCUGGAGCAGGUCCAGAGAGGGGCAACGAGGCUGUGAAGGGCUUGGAGAAUGUGGCCUAUGAGGAGAGACUGAAGGAGCUGGGGCUGUUUGGUCUGGGGAAAAGGAGGCUGAAGGGAGACCUGAUUGCUCUCUUCCAAUACCUGAAAGGUGAUUGCAGCAGAGCGGGGCUGGUCUCUUCUCACUGGUGACAGGACAAGGGGAAAUGGCCUCAAGUUGUGCCAGGGGAGGUUUAGGUUGGAUAUCAGGAAAAACUUAUUUACAGAAAGGUUAUUAAGCGCUGCAAUGGGCUGCCCAGCAAGGCUUUAGUCACCAUCCCUGGAUGUGUGUAAAAUCCAUUUGGAUGCGGUGCUCAGGGCCGUGAUUUAGCAGAGGGCUGUUAGAGGUAGGGGAGUACGGUUACACUGAGGUUGGACUCCAUGGCCUUGGCGGUCUUUUUCAACCUGAGCAAUUCUGUGAUUAAUAUGCCUAGAAAGCAUUAUUAUUAAUCAGCACAGAACAAAGUGCAGUGCAACUACAAAAAAGAGAGGACUGUUUAUAUUUACCCUUAGUAUGGAGCAGAAUUGCAAAUUACUACACCGUGAUUAGAAAGAGACAAUUUAAUACAAGGUCUGCUCUGAAAGUAAUGCCUCCUAUCUUGUGAUGUCAGCCCUGACGUCAGCGGCAGCUGUUGGUGGGAUGGCAGAGGCUGAACCUGCCCACCAACAUUCCGUGACAGGUUGUUGCUGUGUGACAGAUGGCAGCAGAGGGGCACUGGGACAGAAUGGCGCCUGACAUGGAAGUGUUGGGGGAGCGAAGGGUGGAGCUGAAUUCCUCCAUGUGGAAAAAAGGGCCCUCAACAACUUUCAUCAGCACUUGUGAACAUUAAUGGAAACCAAACAGUGGCUGUUAGUACAGUGAGGCAGUAGGUGGUGCAUUUCAGCAGUGGCAAUAGUGAUGUGAAAGACUAGUCAUGUUUCAGAUGGGCACACGGGUUUUUACGAGCACGGCAUGCAGGGUCUUGUUUAUCACUGGCAAAAAAAGCGUAACUACUACUGGUGACUAUGUUGAAAAUUUGUGUUUUGUAGCUGAGAAUUUGCUCUCUCAAGUCAUGUUGUGCCCUUCGUGUCUGCUGUAGUUUUCACUGAAAUAAUUAGGAGGUAUUACUUUUGGAGUGACCUCCGUAUUUCCACUGGUGUAGUUCUACAAUAUUCAAAUGGACCAUGACUACAUUUUCAUUCAGUAUCUUCCUAUUUACUAAGAUCAUCAAUUAUUCAUUUCUAAUGCUACACUUGCCUCUUCUGAUAGAACAGUUAAAUAAGAUUAAGUGACUUGAAAUUACACAACAAAAACUGAAAUAGUAUUUUAAUUUGAUUUUAUUAUUUCAUUUAUUCAUUUACUAAUUAUUUUAGAGCUAAGUGCUUAUCAAAUGAGAUUACUCUCCCUGAAAACUAGGAUUUGUUAGCAGUCCAAGCUUCCAGUAACUCCAGUUUCCCAACUGUGCCUCACUUGCCACCCUCGCCAGACAAUUGACAGGCUGUCCUAUAUGGCCAGUCCAGAGUGAAUAUUUCUGACUGUCCAGACAGCUGCUGCCAAUCAGAGUUCUGUCUGACGAGGACUUCUCUACUAAACAUCAAACUUAGGAGUAUGGUUACAAAAUCAGCUGAGAUAUUUCUCUCAGAAGCCAGUUAACUUGUCCAAAAAAUUUAAAAAAAAGUACAGGCAAGGCAGGAGAUAGCACCAUCCAAUUCAAAACCCUCUAGAAGCCAGCCAAGUCACAUCUCGGGUUCUCUUCCAUCAAAUGAAGCAAUAGGCUUUCACAAGUGAUUAGGUGAAGCAUAGAGAAAUCAUACACUGAAUAUUUCCAAGCCCAUUAUUGGUAGCUUUCACUGCAUUUUAUGACCAGGGGAGAAAUGUGAUUCCAUGAAGUAUUUUGAUACCAUUUGCACACUAGGAAAGUCAAACGUACCCCAUCAUUCAUUGUGGUUACACAAACGGCAAGUUAGCAUAAAGGCAGACCACCACACUCCUAGAGCCAUAAUUAAAAAUUCUUAGUAAACUCUGGAAAUUAUCUUUGCUUUUUAAGUCAGACUGCACUAAAUUAUUCUCACUACAUUCCACUGUCUGGCUGGGAUAUUCCAGUGGUAGAUUCCAGUUUGGCUUAGGCUGCAAGCAGAUCUGUUGGAAUACAUCAAUGCUCCAGAUUCAUACUAUUUUCUGCACACAUCCAGAAGAUUUUGUACUUGUUGCUCUUCUUGCAGGCUCUUAAGUGGUUCUUAGCCAUAAAAUUUGUCUGGCUUUUUCAGCAGAGAUGAAAUAACGCUCUGUUUUAUCUUAGAAAGGCCUCAGAAAUGAUCAAGGAGGCGUGAAUCAUGGCCUGAACCUCUGAUUGAUCACCUGAGGCGAGCACUGAGUCAGCCCUGGGAGCACAGGUGCAGGCAAUUCACCAUGCUGCUGGAAGGGGUGGAGCCUGGCUGCACCUCUCCUAGACCCAAUUAAAAGCUGACUACCAGUGGGGAAGGGUCUCUUUUUGGAGAUCCCUCCUUUGGAGUUUCACAGCAAGCCCAGGACACAGAAAGGAAAUCUCUCUUCUUGGCAAAAUUUCUAACUUCCAGAAGUAUGCGUCCAUUAGAGAACAGAGGGCGAUUCUUGCCACGCACACUGGGGGAAAAAGUGUGGAGAGAGAGAGAGGUGAUGAAUGCCGCCUGCUGAAGGACUGGUGUCCCUGAAUUCAACGCGAGUUCUGCUUUCCCUUCUGUUGACAUUAGAAGUCUGAAAAAUGGAGCAGGAAGUGAACACGUUAGCAUUUGUUUUGGUGCUUACCAUGUAACAUGUACAAGGAGAGCUGCUAUGUGACUGAAAGAAAAGCAAACUCUACAGAAUGAGAUGCAGUCUUUAAUUCCUCCACUCCAUGUUCAUCCCCCAUAGUAAGUACCUAUAGGCGAACACUGACAUUUAUAUUGAUGGUGCAGGUUACAUUCAUCACGCAUUUAAUUACGUGUGGGACAACUCAUGUUUUAAAUUGGAUUAUCUCUGCAGUAUAACCUUUUCUUUUUUGUUUUAAUGACCUUGCUGGAUAUUUGCUUUUUGCCGCUACUGGCCAACUAAAGGACACCAUAUUAGAGAGAAGGAAGAAUAGUGGGACCGGGGCAAGCGUCUGCCAUCAGUAGUAACAUAAUUAAAUGGAGAAGAAUUCUGUUACGUUCUUACCAUGUAUAAAAUUUGACUGUUCAUCUGAUUUACCAUGGCGUCAGCAAGUGAAUGCAGAACAGCAAAUAUGUUUAGGAAAUCUUAAUCCAAAGGGAUUUUUUUCUUGUUUCAAGCGCAUGUAUUUAUUUUAGAAAUUGCAGUAGUCUUUAAGGAUGGAGUUGUGAAUUUUAUGUGGAAAAUAUCAGUGGGUAUGUCCUAGUGUGAUAAGGAUUUUAUUCAUGAUACUACUGAAAGCUUGAAAUGCUCUCUUAUAUUUCCGUUUUCUCCUAUGAUCCCAAUGUUAAUCCACUAGGGAGAUGAACACAGCGAAAGGAGCUCCCAUGCGUGUGCAGCUGACUGUGCACAUCUAAAUUUUGAGCAUGGACAUCUGACCUGCCAUGAGUUACAAAGAAAUCCUAGUGAUAAAUCCUGUGCAGAACGGGCUUUGAAUUUUGUGUUAUUCAUUAGCAAUACCUCUUUGUAUGUAUACAUACUUUCUUAUUUGUAGCAUGUGUAUAUUAUAUACAGUAACUUUUUAAGUGAGCAGAAGGACUCAGUACUACUUCAUCAUGCUUAUCUUUUACUUGUAACUGGAGAGCUGCUUUGAUGUAUAAACGUUCCCGUA